GGUUUCUCUGUGUAACAGAGCCCUAGCUGUCCUGGACUUGCUUUGUAAACCAGGCUGACCUUGAACUCACAGAGCCCUGUCUACCUCUGUCUCCUAGUGCAGGAAUCAAAGGCAUGUGUCACCAUGCCCGGUGGAUGUCCUCUAUCUUAUUCUAUUAAAAAUAAAGCAGGUUAGGGCUGGAGUGAUGGCUCAGAUAGCUCAGUGGUUAGGAACACUGGUUGCUCUUGCAGAGGACCUGCAUUUAGUUCCUAGCACCUGCAUGGAAGCUCUCAAUCAUCAGAAACUCCAGUUCUAGGGUAUCUUGACACCAUCUUCUAUGGACAUUAGGCCUACACAAAAUGCAGGCAAAAGACUCACAGAUAAAAUACAAUAAGUGGCCGGGCGUGGUGGUGCACGCCUUUAAUCCCAGCAUUAGGGAGGCAGAGGCAGGAGGAUUUCUGAGUUCGAGGCCAGCCUGGUCUACAAAGUGAGUUCCAGGACAGCCAGGGCUAUACAGAGAAACUCUGUCUCGAAAAACCAAAAAAACAAAACAAAACAAAACAAAACAAAACAAAACCAAUAAAUGCAGCAAGGCAGGGGCUGACUGGUCAGGUGAUGCCAGCGGCAAGUGCUUGCUGCACACACAAGAGCACCCGUGCCUUCCCUAGGGUCCCUGUGAAGGACCUGGAGUGUCGGUUAACACUUGGAAUUUCAGUGCUUGCACCUGGACACAGGGGGACCCCUUGGGCUUGCUGGCUUAAUUUAGUCGGCGGGCUCCAAGUCCCUCAGAGAGACCUUGCCUCAAAAAAAAAAAAAAAAAAUCAAGGUGGGCCGGGCGGUGGUGGUGUACACCUUUAAUCCCAGCAUUCGGGGCGAGAGGCAGAGGCAAGCAGAGUUCUGUAAGUUAGAGGCCAGCCUGGUCUACAGAGGGAGUUCCUGGAUAGCCACGGCUAUACAGAGAUACCCUGUCUAGAAAAACAAACAAAUAAACAAACAAAAAACCAGACAAGCAAAAACAACAGUAACAAAAAACCAAGAUGGAUGGCAUUCCUGAAGAUGACAUCCCAGGCUGACCUCUGUCCACAGCCUGCACUCAGAGGUGGACAUGUAUUAACUUAGUGUCUGUAUGUGGUGCUGGAAUUGAACUCGGGGCCUUACCCAUGCUAGGCAAGUACUCUACCACUCAGCUAACUCAGCUACACCAGAGCCCCCAUCCUGUACCCAAACACACACACACACACACACACACACACACACACACACACACACAGAAAGAGAGAGAGAGAGAGAGAGAGAGAGAGAGAGAGAGAGAGAGAGAGAGAAUAAACAUACAAGGUUAUAAGGCUGUAUAACAGUAAGACACCAUUUUAUUCAAUGAAACAAGAAGUUUCUCCGUGAGAACGGAUAUCUGCCGCCAAGGUGUUAACAGAUGAUUUUCAUUGUUUUCUCUGGGCUUAUCUGUGUUUCCUAUUUUUUUCAAUGAAUAUCAAUUAUUUGCAUGAUUUUAAAGAGCAAUAAAAAUAAAUCAACUCCAGACUGUUUGUACUUUUUCUUGUGCUCAUCCCCAACCCAGCAGCUCUCAAAAAAAUAUGCAUAUAUAUAUGUCAAUCAUUACAACACUCUCGAAUAUUCCCUUCCUCUCCCUCUGUCACUCUGACAACUGGGUUGAGGGGAGGGGCUCUGCUGCUCUCAGAAGCCCCCUGCUGACUAGUGGAUGGAGAGAAGGCUGUGGUCUUCUGAGAGCACCUAAAGGCCUCCCUCCCUCCCUCCCUCUCUCCCUCCAUCCCUUCCCACCCCCUUCUCUCCCUACCUCUCUGCCAAGCCAUGCAUACCUGGGUGGGCUUUCUAGUUAUUAUUUGUUUCUGCAGGUGAUGCUGGCCUCAGAGGGCAAGGAGCUCUGACCCACUCUCUGAUUGUCUUGUUGGCGCCAACCUGAAGCCCAGGGACACAUGGCACAGUGUGGGACCCCCUUCUCCACUGCUGAAGUGAAAACUGACCCCAUUGUUGUCAAAUAAAGUGUGGCAGAUUUGCAGUCGCAGGUGAUUGCCCCUUUGCUCUGCAAGCAAAAGCAAUGGCUCAGGGCACAGCCAUACUAAUCCCUUCUGAAAGGCUUCAGGGAAGGGAAGGAAACCAUGGAAACUGUUUCUUCAGAGCAUCUAUUGGGCAUGUGGCUGGGGUCUAUCUUGGGCCACUCGUGCCUUUGUUUGUUUGUUUGUUUUGAGACAGGGUUUCUCUGUGUAACCCUGGCUGUCCUGGAACUCACUUUGUAGACCAGGCUGGCCUCGAACUCAGAAAUCUGCCUGCUUUGGCCUCCCAAGUGCUGGGAUUAAAGGCAUGCGCCACCACCGCCCUACUCUUGCCUCUUAUAUACCUUCCCAAGGUAUAUCGGAGCAACCCAGGCAGAGAGAGCUCAGAUUUGAGGAGGCUGACUCUGGCGAAUCUGAUGGUGAUCAUCUUAGAGAGAGAGAAGUGGGUACUGGCUUUUCCUCCCUAGGACUAUACUGUCUGGGCACCCCAGAACACAGACUCCUCAGGAUCAGAUCAAGGCUGGAUCAUUUUAGGGGAGGGAAAGGUUUCCUGAAGUCUUGCAAGUUUAAUGAUGAGCCACCGAGCUUAUCAUUACCACCGUCAAUUCAGAGCUGGUUAAAAGAGGCAGCUAUGAUCUAGGAGACCUGCCUUGGCCCUGAAAGACUAGGACUCAAGGAAAGGAACAAUGGGCCCUUCGAGUCCCCAGGACCCACCUUUAAAUCAACCUCCCUGGAGGUGUCAGGCCUUGCCACCUGGAAAGAGCUCCUGUCAUCCCAAGGCCUUUUACACUCUCGGGAUGGAUGGAAUCGAUACAUGGCACUCUUCUUAGCUCUGUUCCCGAUUACCAGGUCACCUUGGCCAAGUCACUCCUCCCAACCCCCAGCCCUUCUACCCACACAGUGUAGGGCAAAGACAGGUUUGGAAGGGCGUGGCUGAAGAAUGCCCAGCUGCCUGCCAACAUUUCUGCUUGACUCUGGAGUCUGGUGGUAAAGUUCCAUGACCCAGUGUAACCUGGUGUGGCUGCAGAAAUCAAAGUGUGAUCGGUAGCGACACCAUGUGGACACAGUGAGUAACUUCAUUGGCUUGCACAGAAGCCUCAGGGUGACUUCCAGCUUCCCUUCAUUAUGGGGAGAGGCGCUGAUUGCAAUUAAUCACAUUCAUCAUCUUACGUGGGGAGCUGUCUUGGAGCUGGCAAAGAAAAUCCCAAAUCAGAAGACAGUCUCCCAGCCAGAUCUCCCUGCUGUAAGCCUUCAGCUAGACACCUGUUUUGUUUAAAUUUUCAAAUACUGCCUUGAUAGAAGAGUCUGGUGUAACGAAGGGAGUAUGACUAACGGUAAUCACAACGUUAAUAAAAAUUUAACAGGCUGUUUACUCUUGCCAUGGCUCUCACAGACAUCACCUCAUUUCAUGUCCCCAAUAGCCCUGGGAGGUACUUACUCCUGUCCCCAAUUUUCAGAUGCAGAAUGUGAGCUGUGUCUGGGAGGGGAAACUAGAUUUCAAACCUAAGCAGCCUGGCAUCAGACUCCAUUUUCUUCUUUGUUUUGUUCGGAGUCAGAGUCUUACCAGGCAACUCAGGCUGGCCUCCGACUCAAGAUCUUCAUGCCUCAGUGUCCUGUGUGCUAUGACAACAGGCUCUUGGGACAACGCCCAGAUGACCCUAGUUCAUUCCCUCCCUCCCUCCCUCCUUCCCAUACUUCCUUCCUUUCCUUCUCUCCAUCCCCAUUUUUUUUUCUUUAAAUAUAUGGCCUCCUUUAUGUGUGCAGGCACUUUGUCUGUGUGUAUGUCUGUGUACCGCAUACCUGCUGAGUGCCCACGGAGGCCAGAAGCAGUUGGAUCCUUUGGGACUAGAGUGAGAGAUGGUUGUGAACCACCUUGUGGGUGUUGGGAGUUAAACCUGGGUCCUCUACCCUGACCUGUUCUAGACCUCCUAUCUUUUCUUUCUUCUUCCUCCUCCUCCUCCUCUUCCUCCUUCUUUUCAUUCUUUUAUUCUUGAGACUAGGUUUCAUGCAGCCUAGGUUGCCCUGGAACUCACUAAAUAACCAAAAUGGAUAACCUGGAAAUUAUGAUUUUUUAAAAUAUUUAUUUACUACUAUAUGUAAGUAUACUAUAGCUGUCUUCAGACACCCCAGAAGAGGGUGUCAGAUCUCAUUACAAAUGGUUGUGAGCCACCAUGUGGUUGCUGAGAUUUGAACUCAGGCCCUUCGGAAGAGCAGUCAGUGCUCUUAACUACUGAGCCAUUGAAAGGAAAUAAAACUUGAGACCUGUGAUUCAUGUAAUAUAUGUCAAAAAGCCCAAAGAGUUGUUUGUGAGCUUUAAAACCAGGGGCUAAGAACAUAACAGAACAGGCCAGGACAUGCCCGGGCAGGCCCGUCGUCACAUGUCCUGACUGGCCUAGUGCCUCCCUAUCUCCCACCCUUCUGACAGUCUGUUGAUGUUUAAAUGGACCAAUCAUGUGAAACCGUGCCAAUUCCUCCUCCAGCCCCACCCCUUUUCUAUAAAAACCCCUAGCUUCCAAGCCUCGGGGUCGAAACCACUGUCUCCUGCGUGAGAUACAUUUUGAACCGGAGCUCCGCCAUUAUGGCUCCACCAUCGUCAUUAAACUACCUCAUGCUUUUACAUCAAGAUGGUCGUCUGUUCGUGAUUCUUGGGUGCGCGCCAAACAGAAAUUGAGUGGGGGUUUCCCCACUAGGUUCUUUCACCAUCUCUCCAGCUGGAAAUUCUGAUUCUUGUGGCUCUACCUCUAGGAUUAUAAACUUGAACUAUCACAUAUGGUUUUUGUUUGUUUUGAGUUUGUUGUUGUUGUUGGUGGUGGUGGUUUUUCUUGAAACAGGGUUCCUUUGAGUAGCCCUGGCUGUCCUGGAACUCACCCUGUAAACCAGGCUGGUCUUGAACUCAGAAAUCCACCUGCCUUUGCCUCUGGAGUCCCGAGACUAAAGGUGUGCACCACCCACUACCUGGCUUCACAUGAUUUUGUAUUCAGUGCUGAGGCUCAAACUCAGGGCCCUAGGGCAAAUACUUUAUCAACUGAGCUACAUCCCACACCCAAAAGAAUCUCCCAUUCCCUUCCAACUUCUUUCAAACAUUUUA
Molecule: long non-coding RNA, 5094 nt
Filed under: Mus musculus (house mouse)
Lineage: Eukaryota; Metazoa; Chordata; Mammalia; Rodentia; Muridae
Description: long non-coding RNA chr12:86920977-86926071
Source: RNAcentral